CCUACGGGCGGCUGCAGUAAGGAAUAUUGGUCAAUGGACGAAAGUCUGAACCAGCCAUCCCGCGUGCAGGAUGAAGGUCCUAUGGAUUGUAAACUGCUUUUAGCAGAGACGAAGACCCAUCAUUUAUGAUGGAGUGACGGUAUCUGCGGAAUAAGCACCGGCUAACUCCGUGCCAGCAGCCGCGGUAAUACGGAGGGUGCAAGCGUUAUCCGGAAUCACUGGGUUUAAAGGGUGCGUAGGCGGAGAAUUAAGUCAGUGGUGAAAUCCUGUCGCUUAACGAUAGAACUGCCAUUGAUACUGAUUUUCUUGAAUUGGGUUGAGGUUAGCGGAAUGUGACAUGUAGCGGUGAAAUGCAUAGAUAUGUCAUGGAACACCAAUUGCGAAGGCAGCUAACUGGGCCUUGAUUGACGCUGAGGCACGAAAGCGUGGGUAGCGAACAGGCUUAGAUACCCCGGUAGUC
This 460-nucleotide ribosomal RNA is filed under the name uncultured Bacteroidota bacterium. RNAcentral describes it as "bacterial SSU rRNA". It matches the Rfam family "Bacterial small subunit ribosomal RNA", at positions 338 to 795 of the family's 1533-position model. Lineage: Bacteria; Pseudomonadati; Bacteroidota. The record is from RNAcentral.